Molecule: transfer RNA, 90 nt
Filed under: Parasphingorhabdus litoris
Lineage: Bacteria; Pseudomonadati; Pseudomonadota; Alphaproteobacteria; Sphingomonadales; Sphingorhabdaceae
Also listed under: 7 other names
Description: tRNA-Ser
Rfam family: tRNA
About the family: Transfer RNA (tRNA) molecules are approximately 80 nucleotides in length. Their secondary structure includes four short double-helical elements and three loops (D, anti-codon, and T loops).
Source: RNAcentral
GGACAGGUGGCAGAGUGGUCGAAUGCACCGGUCUUGAAAACCGGCGAGGGUGCAAGCUCUCCGUGGGUUCGAAUCCCACCCUGUCCGCCA